Molecule: ribosomal RNA, 301 nt
Filed under: uncultured bacterium
Lineage: Bacteria
Description: partial 16S ribosomal RNA
Rfam family: Bacterial small subunit ribosomal RNA
Source: RNAcentral
CAGCCGCCGCGGGAAAACGGAGGGGGCUAGCGUUGUUCGGAAUUACUGGGCGUAAGGCGCACGUAGGCGGCUUGGUAAGUUAGAGGUGAAAGCCUGGAGCUCAACUCCAGAAUUGCCUUUAAGACUGCCGAGCUAGCAGGUGAGAGAGGUAAGUGGAAUUCCGAGUGUAGAGGUGAAAUUCGUAGAUAUUCGGAAGAACACCAGUGGCGAAGGCGGCUUACUGGCUCAUACUGGACGCUGAGGUGCGAAAGCGUGGGGAGCAAACAGGAUUAGAUACCCGUGUAGUCCCUGUCUCUUAUAA